RNAcentral lists this ribosomal RNA (570 nucleotides) under uncultured bacterium. Its description in RNAcentral is "bacterial SSU rRNA". It matches the Rfam family "Bacterial small subunit ribosomal RNA", at positions 60 to 510 of the family's 1533-position model. The record is from RNAcentral.
AGUCGAGCGGGGUUGUUUUUCACACCUAGGUUUUCACCAGGGGUCAGUGGGGCGCCGGCGCGAAGCGCAGGCAGAAGAAAAGAAGAGGAGCAGGCACGAUCCUGCGCUUCACGCUUUUUUAAAUACGACUGACACAUACGGGGUGGAGAAAUAGGUGUGGAAAACAACUUAGCGGCGGACGGGUGAGUAACACGUGAGCAACCUGCCAUACAGAGGGGGAUAACGUCUGGAAACGGACGCUAAUACCGCAUAACAUCACGAGGUGGCAUCAUCUUGUGAUCAAAGGAGCAAUCCGCUGAAUGAUGGGCUCGCGCCCGAUUAGAUAGUUGGUGAGGUAAUGGCCCACCAAGUCUGCGAUCGGUAGCCGGACUGAGAGGUUGAACGGCCACAUUGGGACUGAGACACGGCCCAGACUCCUACGGGAGGCAGCAGUGGGGAAUAUUGCACAAUGGGGGAAACCCUGAUGCAGCGAUGCCGCGUGAGUGAAGACGGUCUUCGGAUUGUAAAGCUCUGUUGACGGGGACGAUAAUGACGGUACCCGUUUAGAAAGCCACGGCUAACUACGUGCCA